GGCCUGGGCGGGCGGUCUGCCUUACGGUAUGUACUGUCUGCCUGGGUCUUACUUCUUGGUGAGCCGGCAUGCCCUUUACUGGGUGUGUCGGGGAACCAGGACUUUUACCUUGAAAAAAUUAGAGUGUUUAAAGCAGGCAUUUUUGCUCGAAUACAUUAGCAUGGAAUAAUAAAAUAGGACGGUUGGUUCUAUUUUGUUGGUUUCUAGGAUCACCGUA
RNAcentral lists this ribosomal RNA (217 nucleotides) under uncultured fungus. RNAcentral describes it as "partial small subunit ribosomal RNA". The stretch from base 91 to 217 matches the Rfam family "Eukaryotic small subunit ribosomal RNA", at positions 738 to 864 of the family's 1831-position model. The record is from RNAcentral. Lineage: Eukaryota; Fungi.